RNAcentral lists this ribosomal RNA (1373 nucleotides) under uncultured bacterium. RNAcentral describes it as "16S ribosomal RNA". It matches the Rfam family "Bacterial small subunit ribosomal RNA", at positions 30 to 1392 of the family's 1533-position model. The record is from RNAcentral.
UGAACGCUGGCGGCAGGCCUAACACAUGCAAGUCGAACGGUAACAGGAAGCAGCUUGCUGCUUCGCUGACGAGUGGCGGACGGGUGAGUAAUGUCUGGGAAACUGCCUGAUGGAGGGGGAUAACUACUGGAAACGGUAGCUAAUACCGCAUAACGUCGCAAGACCAAAGAGGGGGACCUUCGGGCCUCUUGCCAUCGGAUGUGCCCAGAUGGGAUUAGCUAGUAGGUGGGGUAACGGCUCACCUAGGCGACGAUCCCUAGCUGGUCUGAGAGGAUGACCAGCCACACUGGAACUGAGACACGGUCCAGACUCCUACGGGAGGCAGCAGUGGGGAAUAUUGCACAAUGGGCGCAAGCCUGAUGCAGCCAUGCCGCGUGUAUGAAGAAGGCCUUCGGGUUGUAAAGUACUUUCAGCGGGGAGGAAGGUGUUGAGGUUAAUAACCUCAGCAAUUGACGUUACCCGCAGAAGAAGCACCGGCUAACUCCGUGCCAGCAGCCGCGGUAAUACGGAGGGUGCAAGCGUUAAUCGGAAUUACUGGGCGUAAAGCGCACGCAGGCGGUCUGUCAAGUCGGAUGUGAAAUCCCCGGGCUCAACCUGGGAACUGCAUUCGAAACUGGCAGGCUAGAGUCUUGUAGAGGGGGGUAGAAUUCCAGGUGUAGCGGUGAAAUGCGUAGAGAUCUGGAGGAAUACCGGUGGCGAAGGCGGCCCCCUGGACAAAGACUGACGCUCAGGUGCGAAAGCGUGGGGAGCAAACAGGAUUAGAUACCCCUGGUAGUCCACGCCGUAAACGAUGUCGACUUGGAGGUUGUGCCCUUGAGGCGUGGCUUCCGGAGCUAACGCGUUAAGUCGACCGCCUGGGGAGUACGGCCGCAAGGUUAAAACUCAAAUGAAUUGACGGGGGCCCGCACAAGCGGUGGAGCAUGUGGUUUAAUUCGAUGCAACGCGAAGAACCUUACCUACUCUUGACAUCCAGAGAACUUUCCAGAGAUGGAUUGGUGCCUUCGGGAACUCUGAGACAGGUGCUGCAUGGCUGUCGUCAGCUCGUGUUGUGAAAUGUUGGGUUAAGUCCCGCAACGAGCGCAACCCUUAUCCUUUGUUGCCAGCGGUUAGGCCGGGAACUCAAAGGAGACUGCCAGUGAUAAACUGGAGGAAGGUGGGGAUGACGUCAAGUCAUCAUGGCCCUUACGAGUAGGGCUACACACGUGCUACAAUGGCGCAUACAAAGAGAAGCGACCUCGCGAGAGCAAGCGGACCUCAUAAAGUGCGUCGUAGUCCGGAUUGGAGUCUGCAACUCGACUCCAUGAAGUCGGAAUCGCUAGUAAUCGUGGAUCAGAAUGCCACGGUGAAUACGUUCCCGGGCCUUGUACACACCG